This 496-nucleotide ribosomal RNA is filed under the name uncultured bacterium. Its description in RNAcentral is "partial 16S ribosomal RNA". It matches the Rfam family "Bacterial small subunit ribosomal RNA", at positions 28 to 507 of the family's 1533-position model. The record is from RNAcentral.
GAUGAACGCUGGCGGCGUGCCUAAUACAUGCAAGUCGAGCGAACAGACGAGGAGCUUGCUCCUCUGACGUUAGCGGCGGACGGGUGAGUAACACGUGGAUAACCUACCUAUAAGACUGGGAUAACUUCGGGAAACCGGAGCUAAUACCGGAUAAUAUAUUGAACCGCAUGGUUCAAUAGUGAAAGACGGUUUUGCUGUCACUUAUAGAUGGAUCCGCGCCGCAUUAGCUAGUUGGUAAGGUAACGGCUUACCAAGGCAACGAUGCGUAGCCGACCUGAGAGGGGGAUCGGCCACACUGGAACUGAGACACGGUCCAGACUCCUACGGGAGGCAGCAGUAGGGAAUCUUCCGCAAUGGGCGAAAGCCUGACGGAGCAACGCCGCGGGAGUGAUGAAGGUCUUCGGAUCGUAAAACUCUGUUAUUAGGGAAGAACAAAUGUGUAAGUACUAUGCACGUCUUGACGGUACCUAAUCAGAAAGCCACGGCUAACUACGUG